AAGUGGAUUAGUGGCGCACGGGUGAGUAAUGCAUAGGUUAUGUGCCCUUUAGUCUGGGAUAGCCACUGGAAACGGUGAUUAAUACUGGAUACUCCCUACGGGGGAAAGUUUUUCGCUAAAGGAUCAGCCUAUGUCCUAUCAGCUUGUUGGUGAGGUAAUGGCUCACCAAGGCUACGACGGGUAUCCGGCCUGAGAGGGUGAUCGGACACACUGGAACUGAGACACGGUCCAGACUCCUACGGGAGGCAGCAGUAGGGAAUAUUGCUCAAUGGGGGAAACCCUGAAGCAGCAACGCCGCGUGGAGGAUGAAGGUUUUAGGAUUGUAAACUCCUUUUGUAAAGAGAAGAUU
RNAcentral lists this ribosomal RNA (349 nucleotides) under uncultured Helicobacter sp. RNAcentral's name for it is "bacterial SSU rRNA". It matches the Rfam family "Bacterial small subunit ribosomal RNA", at positions 85 to 450 of the family's 1533-position model. The record is from RNAcentral. Lineage: Bacteria; Pseudomonadati; Campylobacterota; Epsilonproteobacteria; Campylobacterales; Helicobacteraceae.